This 253-nucleotide ribosomal RNA is filed under the name uncultured bacterium. RNAcentral's name for it is "partial 16S ribosomal RNA". It matches the Rfam family "Bacterial small subunit ribosomal RNA", at positions 524 to 776 of the family's 1533-position model. The record is from RNAcentral.
UACAGAGGUGGCAAGCGUUGUUCGGAAUUACUGGGCGUAAAGGGCGCGUAGGCGGCCUUCUAAGUCAGACGUGAAAUCCCCCGGCUUAACCUGGGAACUGCGUCUGAUACUGGAGGGCUUGAGUGCGGGAGAGGGAUGUGGAAUUCCAGGUGUAGCGGUGAAAUGCGUAGAUAUCGAGAGGAACACCUGCGGCGAAGGCGGGUUGCUGGGCUGACACUGACGCUGAAGCGCGAAAGCUAGGGGAGCGAACGGG